RNAcentral lists this ribosomal RNA (253 nucleotides) under uncultured bacterium. RNAcentral describes it as "partial 16S ribosomal RNA". It matches the Rfam family "Bacterial small subunit ribosomal RNA", at positions 524 to 776 of the family's 1533-position model. The record is from RNAcentral.
UACGGAGGGUGCGAGCGUUGUUCGGAAUCACUGGGCGUAAAGCGCGUGUAGGCGGCUUCUUAAGUCCGAUGUGAAAGCCCGGGGCUCACCCCCGGAAGUGCAUUGGAUACUGGGAAGCUGGAGUACCGGAGAGGAGGGUGGAAUUCCUGGUGUAGCGGUGAAAUGCGUAGAUAUCAGGAGGAACACCUGUGGCGAAGGCGGCCCUCUGGACGGAUACUGACGCUGAGACGCGAAAGCGUGGGGAGCGAACAGG